Molecule: small RNA, 241 nt
Filed under: Arabidopsis thaliana (thale cress)
Lineage: Eukaryota; Viridiplantae; Streptophyta; Magnoliopsida; Brassicales; Brassicaceae
Description: ATSL265480
Source: RNAcentral
AUUAAAACGGGAGAUUAGCAAAACUACCCUUUUUUUACUACUCUUUUGCAACAAUACCUUUUUAUGUCGUUCAUUUUUAAAAAUACACCUUCCCUUGAACAGAAUGAUCAAAUUACCCUCAUCUAAUAAGAACAUGUAAUUGGAAACUGAAAGUUUCGGCGCCAAAAUUUAUUUUUCCUGCCAAAAAAAUUUUCCGCAAAACUUUUUUUCCCGUCAAAAAACAUUUCCCGCCAAAAAAAAA